RNAcentral lists this unclassified non-coding RNA (329 nucleotides) under soil metagenome. RNAcentral describes it as "partial contains 5.8S ribosomal RNA, internal transcribed spacer 2, and large subunit ribosomal RNA". The stretch from base 1 to 120 matches the Rfam family "5.8S ribosomal RNA", at positions 35 to 154 of the family's 154-position model. The record is from RNAcentral.
GAUGAAGAACGUAGCGAAAUGCGAUAAGUAAUGUGAAUUGCAGAAUUCAGUGAAUCAUCGAAUCUUUGAACGCACAUUGCGCCCCUUGGUAUUCCGAGGGGCAUGCCUGUUCGAGCGUCAUUUCAACCCUCAAGCACAGCUUGGUCUUGGGCUUCGCCGCUAACCCGGCGGGUCUUAAAAUCAGUGGCGGUGCCGUCGGGCCCUGAGCGCAGUAAUCUCUCUCGCUAUAGGGUCCCGGCGGAUGCUGGCCAGUAACCCCCAAUUUUCUAUGGUUGACCUCGGAUCAGGUAGGGAUACCCGCUGAACUUAAGCAUAUCAAAGGCGGAGGA